Austrofundulus limnaeus is the source of this 1563-nucleotide long non-coding RNA. RefSeq lists it as uncharacterized. The transcript is spliced from 3 exons. Lineage: Eukaryota; Metazoa; Chordata; Actinopteri; Cyprinodontiformes; Rivulidae. The record is from RefSeq and is a predicted model, not a curated record.
GUGGGACAGAGGUAGACUGAGUGGAUCAGGGGUAGACUGAGUGGGGUAGAGUUAGGCUGAGUGGGGUAGAGUUAGGCUGAGUGGAUCAGGGGUGGACUGAGUGGGGCAGAGUUAGACUGAGUGGAUCAGGGGUAGACUGAGUGGAUCAGAGGUAGACUGAGUGGAUCAGAGGUAGACUGAGUGGAUCAGGGGUAGACUGAGUGGAUCAGGGGUAGACUGAGUGGGACAGAGGUAGACUGAGUGGAUCAGGGGUAGACUGAGUGGGGUAGAGUUAGGCUGAGUGGGGUAGGGUUAGGCUGAGUGGAUCAGGGGUGCACUGAGUGGAUCAGGGGUAGACUGAGUGUGCCAGAGGUAGACUGAGUGGGUCAGGGGUAGACUGAGUGGAUCAGGGGUAGACUGAGUGGGUCAGAGGUAGACUGAGUGGAUCAGGGGUAGACUGAGUGGAUCAGGGGUAGACUGAGUGGAUCAGAGGUAGACUGAGUGGAUCAGGGGUAGACUGAGUGGAUCAGGGGUAGACUGAGUGGGACAGAGGUAGACUGAGUGGAUCAGGGGUAGACUGAGUGGAUCAGGGGUAGACUGAGUGGAUCAGAGGUAGACUGAGUGGAUCAGUGGUAGACUGAGUGGAUCAGAGGUAGACUGAGUGGAUCAGAGGUAGACUGAGUGGAUCAGAGGUAGACUGAGUGGAUCAGGGGUAGACUGAGUGGGUCAGAGGUAGACUGAGUGGGUCAGAGGUAGACUGAGUGGGUCAGAGGUAGACUGAGGGGUGCAGAGGUAGACUGAGUGGGUCAGAGGUAGACUGAGUGGGUCAGGGGUAGACUGAGUGGAUCAGGGGUAGACUGAGUGGAUCGGGGGUAGACUGAGUGGGUCAGAGGUAGACUGAGUGGGUCAGGGGUAGACUGAGUUGAUCAGGGGUAGACUGAGUGGAUCAGGGGUAGACUGAGUGGAUCGGGGGUAGACUGAGUGGGUCAGAGGUAGACUGAGUGGAUCAGGGGUAGACUGAUAGGAUCAGAGGUAUACUGAGUGGAUCAGGGGUAGACUGAGUGGAUCAGGGGUAGACUGAGUGGGUCAGAGGUAGACGGAGUGGAUCAGGGGUAGACUGAGUGGAUCAGGGGUAGACUGAGUGGGUCAGAGGUAGACUGAGUGGAUCAGGGGUAGACUGAGUGGAUCAGGGGUAGACUGAGUGGGUCAGAGGUAGACUGAGUGGAUCAGGGGCAGACUGAGUGGAUCAGGGGUAGACUGAGUGGGUCAGAGGUAGACUGAGUGGGUCAGAGGUAGACUGAGGGGUGCAGAGGUAGACUGAGUGGAUCAGGGGUAGACUGAGUGGAUCAGGGGUAGACUGAGUGGGUCAGAGGUAGACUGAGUGGAUCAGGGGCAGACUGAGUGGAUCAGGGGUAGACCGAGUGGGUCAGUGGUAGACUGAGUAGGUCAGGGGUAGACUGAGUGGAUCAGGGGUAGAGUGAGUUUAUCGGGGGUAGACUGAGUGGGACAGAGGUAGACUGAGUGGAUCAGGGGUAGACUGAGUGGGUCAGAGGUAGACUGAGUGGAUCAGGGGCAGACUGAGUG